This 685-nucleotide ribosomal RNA is filed under the name uncultured Lentisphaerota bacterium. RNAcentral's name for it is "bacterial SSU rRNA". It matches the Rfam family "Bacterial small subunit ribosomal RNA", at positions 161 to 863 of the family's 1533-position model. The record is from RNAcentral. Lineage: Bacteria; Pseudomonadati; Lentisphaerota.
GAUUAAUACCGGAUCAGUCUACAGUUGCAUAGCUGUUUGACUAAAGAUUCAUCGUUCGGGGAUGGGCUCGCGCCCGAUUAGCUUGUUGGUGAGGUAACGGCUCACCAAGGCUAUGACAGGUAGCUGGUCUGAGAGGAUGGUCAGCCACACUGGGACUGAGACACUGCCCAGACUCCUACGGGAGGCUGCAGUCGAGAAUCAUCCACAAUGGGCGAAAGCCUGAUGGUGCGAUGCCGCGUGAGGGAUGAAGGCCUUCGGGUUGUAAACCUCUGUCAGGAGGGACGAAGAAUGUGACGGUACCUCCAGAGGAAGCCACGGCAACUACGUGCCAGCAGCCGCGGUAAUACGUAGGUGGCGAGCGUUAUUCGGAUUUACUGGGCGUAAAGGGUCCGCAGGGGGUUUGCCAAGUUUGAUGUGAAAUCCCGAGGCUCAACUUCGGAACUGCAUUGGAUACUGGCGAGCUAGAGUACAGGAGGGGUGAGCGGAAUUCCUGGUGUGGCGGUGGAAUGCGUAGAUAUCAGGAAGAACACCGAUGGCGAAGGCGGCUCACCGGCCUGCUACUGACCCUCAUGGACGAAAGCGUGGGGAGCGAACAGGAUUAGAUACCCUGGUAGUCCACGCUGUAAACGUUGUGCACUAGAUGUGGGUGGAUUUGAUCCCAUUCGUGUCUCAGCUAACGCGUUAA